RNAcentral lists this ribosomal RNA (251 nucleotides) under uncultured bacterium. RNAcentral describes it as "partial 16S ribosomal RNA". It matches the Rfam family "Bacterial small subunit ribosomal RNA", at positions 15 to 256 of the family's 1533-position model. The record is from RNAcentral.
GAUCCUGGCUCAGGAUGAACGCUAGCUACAGGCUUAACACAUGCAAGUCGAGGGGCAGCAUGGACCCAGCUUUGCUGGGUUUGAUGGCGACCGGCGCACGGGUGAGUAACGCGUAUCCAACCUGCCCUUUACUCCGGGAUAGUCUCCUGAAAGGGAGUUUAAUACCGGAUGUGUUUGUCUUUCCGCAUGGGAGCGACAAAUAAAGAUAAUUGUAAGGAAUGGGGAGUGCGUCCCAUUAGCUUGUUGCGGGG